Molecule: ribosomal RNA, 405 nt
Filed under: uncultured bacterium
Lineage: Bacteria
Description: bacterial SSU rRNA
Rfam family: Bacterial small subunit ribosomal RNA
Source: RNAcentral
GAAUGAACGCUGGCGGCGCGCCUAAUACAUGCAAGUCGAGCGAGAAGACGUAGCAAUACGUUUGUAAAGCGGCGAACGGGUGAGGAAUACAUGGGUAACCUACCCUCGAGUGGGGAAUAACUAGCCGAAAGGUUAGCUAAUACCGCGUACGCUUCUUGGACUUCGGUUCAGGGAGGAAAGCGAUACCGUGGGUAUCGCGCUCUUGGAUGGGCUCAUGUCCUAUCAGCUUGUUGGGAGGUAACGGCUCACCAAGGCUUCGACGGGUAGCUGGUCUGAGAGGACGAUCAGCCACACUGGCACUGCGACACGGGCCAGACUCCUACGGGAGGCAGCAGUAAGGAAUAUUGCGCAAUGGGCGAAAGCCUGACGCAGCGACGCCGCGUGGGGGAUGAAGGUCUUCGGAUU